RNAcentral lists this ribosomal RNA (778 nucleotides) under uncultured bacterium. RNAcentral describes it as "bacterial SSU rRNA". It matches the Rfam family "Bacterial small subunit ribosomal RNA", at positions 57 to 841 of the family's 1533-position model. The record is from RNAcentral.
GCAGUCGAGGGGUAUAGUUCUUCGGAACUAGAGACCGGCGCACGGGUGCGUAACGCGUAUGCAAUCUACCUUUCACAAAGGGAUAGCCCAGAGAAAUUUGGAUUAAUACCUUAUAGUAUAUAUGAAUGGCAUCAUUUAUAUAUUAAAGAUUUAUCGGUGAAAGAUGAGCAUGCGUCCCAUUAGCUUGUUGGUAAGGUAACGGCUUACCAAGGCUACGAUGGGUAGGGGUCCUGAGAGGGAGAUCCCCCACACUGGUACUGAGACACGGACCAGACUCCUACGGGAGGCAGCAGUGAGGAAUAUUGGACAAUGGGCGCAAGCCUGAUCCAGCCAUGCCGCGUGCAGGAUGACGGUCCUAUGGAUUGUAAACUGCUUUUGUACAGGAAGAAACAGUUCUACGUGUAGAACCUUGACGGUACUGUAAGAAUAAGGAUCGGCUAACUCCGUGCCAGCAGCCGCGGUAAUACGGAGGAUCCAAGCGUUAUCCGGAAUCAUUGGGUUUAAAGGGUCCGUAGGCGGUUAGAUAAGUCAGUGGUGAAAGCCCAUCGCUCAACGGUGGAACGGCCAUUGAUACUGUCUGACUUGAAUUAUUAGGAAGUAACUAGAAUAUGUAGUGUAGCGGUGAAAUGCUUAGAGAUUACAUGGAAUACCAAUUGCGAAGGCAGGUUACUACUAAUGGAUUGACGCUGAUGGACGAAAGCGUGGGUAGCGAACAGGAUUAGAUACCCUGGUAGUCCACGCCGUAAACGAUGGAUACUAGCUGUUUGGGCGCAGCUCA